AAAAAAAUGAGAAAAAAGCAUGCACAAAAUUAAGAUGAAGAUAUGAUGAUCUUAAGACACCUAAUUAGGUGUCCUAAAGUUAGGACUAAAAAUGUGAUAUAUCCUAAGUUAAGAGAGCUUCGAGAACACGACUAAGGACAAAGAUUUGUCAUAAGAAUCUUAGAUGGUCUUUAGACACGUCCUAAUCCUAAGAUAGCUUCGAGAACACCACCC
RNAcentral lists this long non-coding RNA (213 nucleotides) under Mytilus galloprovincialis (Mediterranean mussel). The record is from RNAcentral. Lineage: Eukaryota; Metazoa; Mollusca; Bivalvia; Mytilida; Mytilidae.